Astatotilapia calliptera (eastern happy) is the source of this 969-nucleotide long non-coding RNA. The record is from Ensembl. NCBI's taxonomy places the organism in Eukaryota, Metazoa, Chordata, Actinopteri, Cichliformes, Cichlidae.
CAGAAAUGAGGAGGGAGAAACAGCAGAUGGCCAUGACAAAAACAACAUAGAUACCUGCUAUCACACUCACAGACUUUCAGCUUCAUUUAUCAGAUUUUAAACUCAGGGAUUCUGUGAUUCUUGAAAAAUACCACCAUCUUUUGGACAUUUAUCGCACUUUAAAUGAAGAAGCAAUGUCUGCUGUAACGUCUGCAUCUCUCUGCCUGACUUUACUGUCUGUCUGCCUCUUGUUUGUCUCUGCAGACCAGAAAAUCAUCAUAGCUGUGCCGGGACAGACGGUCACUCUGCCAUGUCGAGCUCCAAACAGCGGCAACCCCAUCAUAGCUGCAGAGUGGAGCAGAGCUGACCUGGAGCAAGAAUAUGUCCUUUUUUACCGGGACGAUAAGCUUGAUACAGAAGAGCAGCAUCCGUCUUUUAAGAACCGGGUGGAUCUGCAGGACAGACAGAUGAAGGAUGGAGACAUGUCUCUGAUUCUGAAGGAUGUGACGACUGAUGACUCGGGAGCAUACGAGUGUUACGUGGUCCAGAGAGGAGCGAACCGCAGGAAGAGAGCCAGUCUGGAUAGUGACCCCAUCAGCACCACCUACCUGACUGUUGUUCCUCCAAGCCAGAAAAACAUCACAGCUGAGUCUGGACAGAACGUCACUCUGACAUGUCGAGCGCCAAACACUGUCCUCAUACCAGGUGUAGAGUGGAGCAGACGUGACUUGAAGGCACAAUAUGUGCUUUGGUACUGGGAAAAACAAUUUGUUCCAUAUUACCAGCAUCCAUCUUUUAAGAACCGGGUGGAUCUGCAGGACAGACAGAUGAAGGAUGGAGACGUGUCUUUGAUUCUGAAGGAUGUGACGGUUAAUGACACUGGAACAUACGAGUGUCGUGUCCUUGUGAGGGGAGGGAACCGCAGGAAGAGAGCUAAUCUGGGUGGUGAACCCAUCAGCAUCAUCUACCUUCAUGUUGUUGAUCCUCCAG